RNA transcript from Anastrepha ludens (Mexican fruit fly), 1875 nucleotides. RefSeq lists it as uncharacterized. The record is from RefSeq and is a predicted model, not a curated record. The transcript is spliced from 3 exons. Lineage: Eukaryota; Metazoa; Arthropoda; Insecta; Diptera; Tephritidae.
UUGUGCCAAGGCGAAUUUUCUUUGUUUACAUAUUUCUUUGUUUCUACAUUGUUACUCAAAGUAUUUGUAGCAGUUAUAUUGAAACACAAAAAAUAAAGAUUAUCCGUACAUAAUAUCAUAGUACAUAUUAUUGCAUUGUUGAAUGCAAAUAUGGUGAAAUGUGUAUUGUGCGCAAAACGAUGCAUGUCUUGGACAUCUUCCGAAUGCUUUACCAGGUAGGUGUCCAACACCAGCGUUGCGGUGCUGAAGUUGCAUCUUUCUUCAACCAGUCACUAACAGCACCACACAAUGCAUCCAGACGAUCCUCGUCCCUUUUCCUUUUGUUUCUGUUCGUAGUUAUGCUGGAGGCUGUUCUUUGCUCCGGGGAUGAAUUAGUUCCGAUGGAAAGUUUUCCAUACGGCAUGUAUGUGGCGUCUUCGAUUCAAAUACACAUAUUCUAUUUCGCUGUCAGUUAUAUUCGAUGCCGCAACGGACCCAUUGUGACGGACCUAUUAACUAUUCAGAAUUGGUGCCUAUUAAGGCUACCAAUGCCUUGGGACCUGCAUGGUGAAUUUACAGAUGUAAAUGGCGAACAUAUUUUGUCACAAUUCGAAGCUUUUGAGAGUAUGACAUUAUAAAGUCGACCACCAACCUUAAUAAGCUCGAAACUGGUUGAAUUGCCUUAAAAUAGUGUUAAAAAUUGCAAGCUGAUUUUAAUUGAAGAUUUAUUUUUAGCAAAUGAAAGUCGUCGGUAAAAUGCUGCUGUUGAAUUAUCCGAAUGAUAGAAUAUAAAACAUGUCGCAGUUCCUGAUAUGUUGGCGAAAAAGUUGCUGGUCGGGAUCUCCUUCGGCAUGUGUCGCUAAACCUAAACAUCCAAGCAACGAGACGUAGACAGCGAUUGUAUGAUCUAAUUUUUCGAUUAUUUGUAGGAUGUAAUUAGUUUCUAAUAUACAACGACAGCAAAAAAGUUUUUUCGCUUGUUGACGUUGAUGAUUUCAUUAUCGCCAUAUCUUCACGUAGAAACGAAGGUCCUGAAAACCAGUUCGAUGUUUUUACGUCAGCUACAGUGCAACCACGCGAUACCAAGUCUGCGGGAUUUUAUUGAGUGGGUACGAAUCUCGACCGGGCUUUUGAACAUUGACAAUAUCGCCGAGUGUUGUUGCAACCAAUGAAGGACUAAUUGCGAAUCGGGCCAAAAGUAUGUGAAAGUGAGUUUGGCUGAAAAAUGUUCCUUACUUUAUUGUAUAAUUGAGCGAGAAGAUGUGCUUCGCAAAGCUUGCGUUACGGAAGUGAUUGUUUCUUCACUGGAGCACGAAUAGCUUCGAUGUAAGCAGGUGAACAACAAUGGCUAUUAUUUUAGUACUUCCGAAGUGAAAUUGCUGCUCAGAGUAAGACUGAGCAUGGAAAGCGAGUUCUCCUCGGGAUGGAGGUAGAAGAGCGUCCUCUGGAAUAAGGUUGUGGAAGAAAUAAAAGAAGUUAAUAAAGACAUGAAGAUCCACAGGACCAUCGCCCAGCGAAAUUAAUCUAUUAAUCACAUAUAAGCGUAUAAAAAAAAAUAAUGCAUCUGGUAGGGAAGCAACAUCAUGGCUUCCCUACGAGGAAUUUUAUGAGGUAUACGGUACCAGGCACUCAAUCAAUGUGCCCACUGAAAAUUUACAAAGCUCAGUUGAGCUGUCAAUGACGCCAUUAACGGAACGGAAUCAUGUUGAGCCAUCAAAUUCUCCACCAACUCCAAUUCGUAGAAACGGACAGUCUCGAAGAAAUGAAAACAACGAAAUGAUGAAUUUUUUACAAGAUGAGUCGAUAAAAAUGGCUCAACAAAUAAUUUUUUUACCUUAUUUUUAAUUUUCUUAUUAUAUCGAACGAAGCUGUGAAAAGUACCUUUUUCAAAUUGAA